CAGUAGCCGCGGUAAUACGUAGGGGGCAAGCGUUGUCCGGAGUCAUUGGGCGUAAAGCGCGUGUAGGCGGCUCGAUAAGUCUGCUGUGAAAGUUCAGGGCUCAACCCUGAAAUGCCGGUGGAAACUGUCGAGCUUGAGUCCGGAAGAGGCAAGUGGAAUUCCUGGUGUAGCGGUGAAAUGCGCAGAUAUCAGGAGGAACACCAAUGGCGAAGGCAGCUUGCUGGGACGGUACUGACGCUGAGACGCGAAAGCGUGGGGAGCAAACAGGAUUAGAUACCCGAGUAGUCCCUGUCUCUUAUAA
This 301-nucleotide ribosomal RNA is filed under the name uncultured bacterium. Its description in RNAcentral is "partial 16S ribosomal RNA". It matches the Rfam family "Bacterial small subunit ribosomal RNA", at positions 509 to 809 of the family's 1533-position model. The record is from RNAcentral.